RNAcentral lists this ribosomal RNA (432 nucleotides) under uncultured bacterium. RNAcentral describes it as "partial 16S ribosomal RNA". It matches the Rfam family "Bacterial small subunit ribosomal RNA", at positions 29 to 506 of the family's 1533-position model. The record is from RNAcentral.
AACGAACGCUGGCGGCAUGCUUAACACAUGCAAGUCGAACGAGACCUCCCUGUCUAGUUGCGCACCUCUGCGUACGGCCUGGUAACCUGCCCUUAGGUUCCCAAUAACUGCCUGUAAGGGGUCCUAAUACCGGUUAAUGUCUUCGGACCUAAGAUUUAUCGCCUUUGGUUGGGCCCGCGUUGGUUUAGCCUGUUGGGAGGGUAAAAGCCUACUAAGGCGACGAUCCAUAGCUGGUCUGAGAGGAUGAUCAGCCACACUGGGACUGGGACACGGCCCAGACUCCUACGAGAGGCAGCAGUGGGGAAUAUUGGACAGUGGGCGAGAGCCUGAUCCAGCAAUGGCGCGUGAGUGAUGAAGGCCUUAGGGUUGUAAAGCUCUUUUACCCGGGAUGGUAAUGACAGAACCGGGAGAAUAGAAUCCGGCAAACUCCGG